RNAcentral lists this non-coding RNA (22 nucleotides) under Arabidopsis thaliana (thale cress). Lineage: Eukaryota; Viridiplantae; Streptophyta; Magnoliopsida; Brassicales; Brassicaceae. The record is from RNAcentral.
AUAAGCUUUCUGUGUAGUGAUG